CGGCGCCGCUCGCUCCUGCCGGGAGCCCGGGCCGCCAACUCCGAGCCGGGGCAUCUCCUCCGGCCGCCCGGGACAGACCGAGGGAUGCGGGCAGGGACGGAGGGAGGGAUGCGGGAAAGCGGGGGUGGGCGCCGGGCGGACCCGGGGCGGGGGGGCGGGCGCGGAGCGGGGCCACCGGGGACGCGCCCGCCGGGGCUGGGACGUGCCCGAAGCGAUGGCAAAGAGCAGCCCCCCCUUCUCCUGACCCCGUCCUUUGGGGUGAUGCCGGCCGGGAGAGGGAUGCGGGGAGGAUGCGGCAGCACCCCGAUGCAUGGGCCGCGGGCAGCCGCUCGUCUCCGUGCGACAGCGCUGCGGGCGGGCGCCCUGGGGACAGGGAGGGCAGCCCUGAAAAACGCUUUUCCCCACACGCCCCCGGGAGCUGCGGGCGGCUCGGGGCUCUCGCAGCCUCGGCGGCCCCGGGGCAGCGCCAGGCCAGGAUGGAGCAGCAGCGCGCAGGCUGUUCAUCUGAACCUCCUUCAGAUCACCUGCAAGCCUCUCCAGCUUAACCAAAAGAUGACUAUUCUGUUGAAGAUCUACCUAGGAUUGCAGAAAGUGGUGCCUAAUGUUCUGCUAUACAGUAAGAAUACCAUAUAAUUGAGUUCCAUGAUUGCUAAUCUUAUUUUCCAUGCUGACCCUAUGAGUGCAUG
Molecule: long non-coding RNA, 686 nt
Organism: Junco hyemalis (dark-eyed junco)
Lineage: Eukaryota; Metazoa; Chordata; Aves; Passeriformes; Passerellidae
Source: Ensembl